UACGGGGGGGCAAGCGUUGUUCGGAAUUACUGGGCGUAAAGGGCUCGUAGGCGGCCAACUAAGUCAGACGUGAAAUCCCUCGGCUUAACCGGGGAACUGCAUCUGAUACUGGGUGGCUUGAGUUCGGGAGAGGGAUGCGGAAUUCCAGGUGUAGCGGUGAAAUGCGUAGAGUAUCUGGAGGAACACCGGUGGCGAAGGCGG
This 201-nucleotide ribosomal RNA is filed under the name uncultured bacterium. RNAcentral's name for it is "partial 16S ribosomal RNA". It matches the Rfam family "Bacterial small subunit ribosomal RNA", at positions 524 to 724 of the family's 1533-position model. The record is from RNAcentral.